Molecule: ribosomal RNA, 253 nt
Filed under: uncultured bacterium
Lineage: Bacteria
Description: partial 16S ribosomal RNA
Rfam family: Bacterial small subunit ribosomal RNA
Source: RNAcentral
GACAGAGGGUGCAAACGUUGCUCGGAAUCACUGGGCGUAAAGGGCGUGUAGGCGGGACGGUAAGUCGGGCGUGAAAUCCCUAGGCUCAACCUAGGAACUGCACUCGAAACUACCAUUCUUGAGUGUCGGAGAGGAAAGCGGAAUUCCUGGUGUAGAGGUGAAAUUCGUAGAUAUCAGGAGGAACACCAGUGGCGAAGGCGGCUUCUGGACGAUAACUGACGCUGGAGACGCGAAAGCGUGGGGAGCAAACAGG